CCUACGGGUGGCAGCAGUGAGGAAUAUUGGUCAAUGGACGCAAGUCUGAACCAGCCAUGCCGCGUGCAGGAAGACGGCCCUAUGAGUUGUAAACUGCUUUUGUACGAGGGUAAACCCAGAUACGCGUAUCUUUCUGAAAGUAUCGUACGAAUAAGGACCGGCUAACUCCGUGCCAGCAGCCGCGGUAAUACGGAGGAUUCAAGCGUUAUCCGGAUUUAUUGGGUUUAAAGGGUGCGUAGGCGGUCGGAUAAGUUAGAGGUGAAAUCCCGAGGCUCAACUUCGGAAUUGCCUCUGAUACUGUUCGGCUAGAGAGUAGUUGCGGUAGGCGGAAUGUAUGGUGUAGCGGUGAAAUGCUUAGAGAUCAUACAGAACACCGAUUGCGAAGGCAGCUUACCAAGCUACUUCUGACGUUGAGGCACGAAAGCGUGGGGAGCAAACAGGAUUAGAUACCCCGGUAGUC
This 460-nucleotide ribosomal RNA is filed under the name uncultured bacterium. RNAcentral describes it as "partial 16S ribosomal RNA". It matches the Rfam family "Bacterial small subunit ribosomal RNA", at positions 338 to 795 of the family's 1533-position model. The record is from RNAcentral.